AGAACGAACGCUGGCGGCGUGGAUAAGACAUGCAAGUCGAACGCGACUUAUUCAGUUAGCAAUAACUGGGUAAGUUGAGUGGCGAAAGGGUGCGUAACACGUGGGAAUUUACCAAGAAGUGGGGAAUAGCUCGACGAAAGUCGAAUUAAUACCGCAUACGAUCGCAAGAUCAAAGCCGGGGACCGCAAGGCCUGGCGCUUUUUGAGAAGCCCGCGGCCCAUCAGCUAGUUGGCGGGGGUAAAAGCCCACCAAGGCUAUGACGGGUAGCUGGUCUGAGAGGACGACCAGCCACACUGGAACUGAGACACGGUCCAGACACCUACGGGUGGCAGCAGUCGAGAAUUUUUUCACAAUGGAC
RNAcentral lists this ribosomal RNA (358 nucleotides) under uncultured bacterium. RNAcentral's name for it is "SSU rRNA". It matches the Rfam family "Bacterial small subunit ribosomal RNA", at positions 26 to 376 of the family's 1533-position model. The record is from RNAcentral.